This 65-nucleotide transfer RNA is filed under the name Drosophila canalinea. RNAcentral describes it as "tRNA-Asn". The record is from RNAcentral. Lineage: Eukaryota; Metazoa; Arthropoda; Insecta; Diptera; Drosophilidae.
UAAUUGAAGCCAAAAUAGAGGCAUAUCACUGUUAAUGAUAUAAUUGAAAUAAAUUUCCAAUUAAG